This 497-nucleotide ribosomal RNA is filed under the name uncultured bacterium. RNAcentral's name for it is "partial 16S ribosomal RNA". It matches the Rfam family "Bacterial small subunit ribosomal RNA", at positions 28 to 507 of the family's 1533-position model. The record is from RNAcentral.
GAUGAACGCUGGCGGCGUGCCUAAUACAUGCAAGUCGAGCGAACAGACGAGGAGCUUGCUCCUCUGACGUUAGCGGCGGACGGGUGAGUAACACGUGGAUAACCUACCUAUAAGACUGGGAUAACUUCGGGAAACCGGAGCUAAUACCGGAUAAUAUAUUCAACCGCAUGGUUCAAUAGUGAAAGACGGUUUUGCUGUCACUUAUAGAUGGAUCCGCUCCGCAUUAGCUAGUUGGUAAGGUAACGGCUUACCAAGGCAACGAUGCGUAGCCGACCUGAGAGGGUGAGCGGCCACACUGGAACUGAGACACGGUCCAGACUCCUACGGGAGGCAGCAGUAGGGAAUCUUCCGCAAUGGGCGAAAGCCUGACGGAGCAACGCCGCGUGAGUGAUGAAGGUCUUCGGAUCGUAAAACUCUGUUAUUAGGGAAGAACAAAUGUGUAAGUAACUAUGCACGUCUUGACGGUACCUAAUCAGAAAGCCACGGCUAACUACGUG